Molecule: long non-coding RNA, 1715 nt
Organism: Daphnia pulicaria
Lineage: Eukaryota; Metazoa; Arthropoda; Branchiopoda; Diplostraca; Daphniidae
Exons: 5
Source: RefSeq, a predicted model, not a curated record
GUGGAAGAGGCAAAGAUACGCCUGGUAGAGAAAAAAGCGAAAAACAAGCAGGAGUCUGUUGACCAAAGAAGAAUUGCAGUUAAAACUAAAAAAUGAAGGCCAACUUGAAAGACCACCAAAAGAUGGAUAUGGCUUGUAUUUCAAACUACAAUUCACAAGUAAUUAUUUAAAGAAAUUUGUGACUAAAGAGAGAACAGCUGUAAUAGCUAGAAACUGGAGGGAAUUAAGUGAUGGAGAAAAAACAUCAUACAAAGACAAAGUCACUCAGAUGCAUUUUGAUUACUAUCUUGAACUCUCUCACCAGAACAUCGGUGUUCUAAACUCCAAAAUCGUCUGAACAAAUCUCAAAGAAAAAGGAAGGCUGCCAAAAAGGCUGAAGAUGGACAGGUAAUAUAGUUUCUGCUGAAAUUGAAUUAAUUAGCCUUAAACCAUAUUAAAUAUGAUUUUUGGAAUAUGAUAUCUGGAUCUCCGAGUAGUAAAAAAUACCAUGAAGUAGGAUAAAAAUUAUGAAUAUUAACUGUUAUUUUCUUUAUUCAAGACUAUGACCCUCAUAAAGAAAACACGUGUUAGUGGCCUUUGCCGUAGUGAAUAACUAAACUUCCCGAUUUCCCAACCUGGAAAGAAUUAGCGAGUUAGAGUAGCGUUCCAUAGACUUUCAGUUUCUACAUUCACUGUGCAUUCUCGUCACAGUUAACGUCUGAUGCGUUACUUUUUCUCUUCAAUUUUAGUAAUCUAAUUUAAUCUAAUCUUUUGUUUCCUCUCUCCCAUCUGAUGAAAUCAUUAAUUGUGUUAUGAAGAGCUUAUAGGAGGCCCAGUAUAAUGCAGAGGAGGAAGACGUGGAUUCAUAAGAAGAAAGAGAUUCAAAUGAUGAUCUAUGUUACUAUGAUUACACAGAUGAGACAAGUUCUGAUUCCAAGAAAUUGCUCUCUGAUUCUUCCGAGGAAGAUGAUAAACAAGACGAGGCAGAAGGUGAGGAUCAAGAAUUUGGAGGAUUCGAGAAAGCCAACAAUAAACAAUUUAAAAAAAGGGCCCGUAGGGCAAGAUACAUUAAUAAUCAAGAAAGCAAAAAAAAACUCAGUUUCGUGCCAUUUUCACGACAGUUCACAGCGUUUCUUCAAUUCCCACUGUAUAACUGUGAAUCAAUUUACAAAAUUUCUUAAUAUAACAACAUGGGUUUCGUAGAGCGGUGCGGCACAUCUGGAUGCCUUAACUAACGAAAGAGGAAUUGCUGAUCAAACUAAGAAUGAAGGGAAAUCAGACAAACCACCAAAAAACGGUUACUUUUUAUUUGCCAAACAACUUGUUUCAAGCAAUUCUUUAAAGCAUUUUGAGACUUAAGAAAGAAAAGUGGAAAUAGCUAAACGCUGGAAGGAAUUGAGUGAUUAUAAGAAGACUUCGCACCAUAACGAAGCCUUAGAAGUAACAUUUAUUAAAACAAGACGUUAUUCGAUGAUGUUGGUCACAGCUACGCGCAGGCAGUUUUCUGAGCAGGUUACUUUAAAAAUCUCUGCUUUUUCCUGAGCAGUGAAAUAAAACGCCAGGACAAAACGAACGAAACGGCAGCCAUGACAUGAAAGUUCUGAUCAGGUGGUGCUAAGCAGCAGGAAUGGCCUUACGUCAAACACACCAAUAACAAUAAAUAAAUAAGCAUAGUAGAAAUAUAACAAUUACAGCAGUAUAAAUUAAGGAAAAAUUAUAAUAAUUAUUUCAGUGAG